This is a non-coding RNA of Hippopotamus amphibius kiboko, 69 nucleotides long. The record is from the annotation of a RefSeq genome assembly. Lineage: Eukaryota; Metazoa; Chordata; Mammalia; Artiodactyla; Hippopotamidae.
AGAGAGACAUAGUGGUUAUGAUGUUGGCUUGAAACCAACAGGAGGAGGUUCGAUUCCUUCCUCUCUUGU